RNAcentral lists this ribosomal RNA (482 nucleotides) under uncultured bacterium. RNAcentral describes it as "bacterial SSU rRNA". It matches the Rfam family "Bacterial small subunit ribosomal RNA", at positions 28 to 523 of the family's 1533-position model. The record is from RNAcentral.
GACGAACGCUAGCGGCGGGCUUAAUACAUGCAAGUUUAGGGGUUCAGCAAUGGACACCGGCGGACGGGUGCGUAACACGUAUGCAACCUGCCCUUUACUGGAGGAUACUCCGGAGAAAUUCGGCACAACACUCCAUAUACUCAUACUUUCGCAUGGGAGAAUGAGGAAAGGUUACGGUAAAGGAUGGGCAUGCGUCUGAUUAGCUAGUUGGCGAGGUAACGGCUCACCAAGGCGACGAUCAGUAGCUGGUCUGAGAGGAUGAUCAGCCACACUGGCACUGAGAUACGGGCCAGACUCCUACGGGAGGCAGCAGUAGGGAAUAUUGGUCAAUGGGCGAAAGCCUGAACCAGCCACGCCGCGUGCAGGAAGAAGGUCCUCUGGAUUGUAAACUGCUUUGCCAAGGGAUAAAGAGAGGCUAUACGCCUAAAUGAAGGUACUUGGUGAAUAAGCCACGGCUAACUACGUGCCAGCAGCCGCGGUAA